CCUACGGGGUGCAGCAGUAGGGAAUCUUCCACAAUGGGCGAAAGCCUGAUGGAGCAACGCCGCGUGGGUGAAGAAGGUCUUCGGAUCGUAAAACCCUGUUGUUAGAGAAGAAAGUGCGUGAGAGUAACUGUUCACGUUUCGACGGUAUCUAACCAGAAAGCCACGGCUAACUACGUGCCAGCAGAUGCGGGAAUACGUAGGUGGCAAGCGUUAUCCGGAUUUAUUGGGCGUAAAGGGAACGCAGGCGGUCUUUUAAGUCUGAUGUGAAAGCCGUCGGCUUAACCGGAGUAGUGCAUUGGAGACUGGGAGACGUGAGUGCAGAAGAGGAGAGUGGAACUCCAGGUGUAGCGGUGAAAUGCGUAGAUAUAUGGAAGAACACCAGUGGCGAAAGCGGCUCUCUGGUCUGUAACUGACGCUGAGGUUCGAAAGCGUGGGUAGCAAACAGGAUUAGAUACCCGUGUAGUC
This 465-nucleotide ribosomal RNA is filed under the name uncultured bacterium. RNAcentral's name for it is "partial 16S ribosomal RNA". It matches the Rfam family "Bacterial small subunit ribosomal RNA", at positions 338 to 795 of the family's 1533-position model. The record is from RNAcentral.